AUUGAACGCUGGCGGCAGGCCUAACACAUGCAAGUCGAGCGAGCGGCGGACGGGUGAGUAAUGUAUGGGGACUGCCCGAUAGAGGGGGAUAACUACUGGAAACGGUGGCUAAUACCGCAUACUAUCGGAUAACCCAUAUGGGAUUAGCUAGUAGGUGGGGUAAAGGCUCACCUAGGUGACGAUCACUAGCCGUUCUGAGAGGAUGAUUGGCCACACUGGAACUGGGAAACGGCCCAGACUCCUACGGAGGCAGCGGUGGGGAAUAUUGCACAAUGGGCGCAAGCCUGAUGCAGCAAUGCCGCGUGUAUGAAGAAGGCCUUAGGGUUGUAAAGUACUUUCAGCGGGGAGGCGUUACCCACAGAAGAAGCACCGGCUAACUCCGUGCCAGCCGCCGCGGUAAUUC
This 403-nucleotide ribosomal RNA is filed under the name uncultured bacterium. RNAcentral describes it as "partial 16S ribosomal RNA". It matches the Rfam family "Bacterial small subunit ribosomal RNA", at positions 30 to 526 of the family's 1533-position model. The record is from RNAcentral.